This 497-nucleotide ribosomal RNA is filed under the name uncultured bacterium. Its description in RNAcentral is "partial 16S ribosomal RNA". It matches the Rfam family "Bacterial small subunit ribosomal RNA", at positions 28 to 507 of the family's 1533-position model. The record is from RNAcentral.
GAUGAACGCUGGCGGCGUGCCUAAUACAUGCAAGUCGAGCGAACAGACGAGGAGCUUGCUCCUCUGACGUUAGCGGCGGACGGGUGAGUAACACGUGGAUAACCUACCUAUAAGACUGGGAUAACUUCGGGAAACCGGAGCUAAUACCGGAUAAUAUAUUGAACCGCAUGGUUCAAUAGUGAAAGACGGUUUUGCUGUCACUUAUAGAUGGAUCCGCGCCGCAUUAGCUAGUUGGUAAGGUAACGGCUUACCAAGGCAACGAUGCGUAGCCGACCUGAGAGGGUGAUCGGCCACACUUGAACUGGGACACGGUCCAGACUCCUACGGGAGGCAGCAGUAGGGAAUCUUCCGCAAUGGGCGAAAGCCUGACGGAGCAACGCCGCGUGAGUGAUGAAGGUCUUCGGAUCGUAAAACUCUGUUAUUAGGGAAGAACAAAUGUGUAAGUAACUAUGCACGUCUUGACGGUACCUAAUCAGAAAGCCACGGCUAACUACGUG